Molecule: small nucleolar RNA, 97 nt
Organism: Rattus norvegicus (Norway rat)
Lineage: Eukaryota; Metazoa; Chordata; Mammalia; Rodentia; Muridae
Product: small nucleolar RNA U13
Source: Ensembl
AGCUUUCUGUGGCUCAUAAGGUUAAUGAUUAGGUUUUUAAUGUCACAUGUGAGACCUCCUUCGAGCCUUAUUAUGUGGAAACAUGACUCAUCUGACA